CAGAAAUCGCCACGCGCACAGCUCUCUACCUUAUAAAAACUUGGUCUAAUGCUGCUAUUAAUUAAUUUCACCUGCAACUACAGAUUCCCUGUAGGAUAACAGUUCUGUUUAAUGAUAUUGAUAUGCACUGCAGCUGUUAUAUAGUUUUAGUUAUUGUAAUUUAUAAAAAAUAACUGGAAACUGCAUUAGUCGUUCUACAGAUCUCAAGAUAUGAUCAAUAUGAGAAAUCUGAAAUUGAAAACGGACUGGAGUUUUCUUCAUGUAGCUCUAUACUAAAUAUUUAAUUUUAUAAAAAUUGACAAUUAAACAUUGAAAGGCUCGCGACCGAGCCUACGAUUUUUUAACACGAUGGUGCACAAUUAAAAUGUUAUAUAGCAAAAAGAAUUAUUAAUCUCUAAAGUCUUACGCUCGAAAUACCUUAUCUAACACGACGGUCAUGUUAAAAAUUGAAACAAGAAAACCUAGGAAGGGUAGGCAGCGUUAAUAAAUGUUUUCAUUCACAUAUAGGACAACCUUUAUUAAUUAAUGCUUUUACUAGUCAUAAUAUAAUGCUAUUAAUCGUUAUAAUAUUAAUAAUAAUAGUAAUAAUAAUAAGUCAUAAUAUAUAAUAUAUAUUUAUAUUAUUAAUAUGCUUAUCUAGACCUUGUGUUACAUAAUACACAAUCAUUAUCAUAUCUUAUUCCUUAUCAUAUAUAAUGUAAUACAUAUCGUCAGGAUGGUAUAAAUAAUAUUGUAUUUCGUAAAAGCACUUCUUGUUGCUUAUAAUAUUAUCGUUUCCAUAUUGUUUCUUUACCUCUGUACUUCCAUCGUUCCACUUAACUGUCCCUAAUGUUAGUUAUCAUUUUUGUAUGGGUACCUUUUAGAUUAAAACAUUACUCCCAUCCAUCUCCCUCCCGAUCAUCAAAACAAUCCUCAUCAUCUGUGCUCCCGUCAUCGACCAACACAUAGCCUGACAAUAAAGGUAUCCGCGUUCAAAAA
Molecule: long non-coding RNA, 978 nt
Organism: Cephus cinctus (wheat stem sawfly)
Lineage: Eukaryota; Metazoa; Arthropoda; Insecta; Hymenoptera; Cephidae
Exons: 2
Source: RefSeq, a predicted model, not a curated record